This 779-nucleotide ribosomal RNA is filed under the name uncultured Neocallimastigales. RNAcentral describes it as "partial large subunit ribosomal RNA". It matches the Rfam family "Eukaryotic large subunit ribosomal RNA", at positions 26 to 645 of the family's 3401-position model. Lineage: Eukaryota; Fungi; Neocallimastigomycota; Neocallimastigomycetes; Neocallimastigales. The record is from RNAcentral.
CGUCUAUAUACGUAUAGCAUAUCAAUAAGCGGAGGAAAAGAAACUAACUAGGAUUCCCUCAGUAACGGCGAGUGAAGCGGGAAGAGCUCAAAUUUGAAAUCUUCAAGGUUUUACCUUGACGAAUUGUAGUUUAAAGAAGUGUUUUCUGUUGGAGUUUUGGUAAAAGUUCUUUGGAAUAGGACAUCAUAGAGGGUGAGAAUCCCGUAUUUGACCAUUAUCUCCAGCUUUGUGAUACACUUUCAAAGAGUCGGAUUGUUUGGGAAUGCAGUCCAAAAUGGGUGGUAAAUUUCAUCUAAAGCUAAAUACUGGCGAGAGACCGAUAGCGAACGAGUACCGUGAGGGAAAGAUGAAAAGAACUUUGAAAAGAGAGUUAAACAGUACGUGAAAUUGUCAAAAGGGAAGCGUUUGACACCAGUGUUGUUUUCUCGAAAAUCAAUUAAAAAAGGCCGGAUUUUGUGUUGUAUUGACUUUAUCAGCUUUCUGUACUCUUUUCUUGUCUUUUUUAAUGCACUUUUCGUUUAACAAGUCAACAUCAAUUUCUUUUGUUGUAAAAGAGGUCAUUGGAAGGUGGCUUUCACUUUCGGAUGAAAGUGUUUAUAGCCUUUGGCUUCUGCAAUCGGAGAGAUUGAGGUCUGCAGCGUAGAUCCUUCGGGGUUAGAUACAUUAGAUGCUAAGUUAUAGCCUUUUUAUAGACAACUUGUUGACUAUGAUUAGUCAUGUAGCUUACUCGUUUGCGCUAUUUUACCUACGCUUAGGAUGUUGAAGUCAUCGUAUCGCGC